UACGUAGGGGGCUAGCGUUGUCCGGAAUCAUUGGGCGUAAAGAGCGUGUAGGCGGCCCGGUAAGUCCGCUGUGAAAGUCGGGGGCUCAACCCUCGAAUGCCGGUGGAUACUGUCGGGCUAGAGUGCGGAAGAGGCGAGUGGAAUUCCUGGUGUAGCGGUGAAAUGCGCAGAUAUCAGGAGGAACAGCGGUGGCGAAGGCGGGUCUCUGGGCCAUAACUGACGCUGAGGAGCGAAAGCGUGGGGAGCGAACAGG
RNAcentral lists this ribosomal RNA (253 nucleotides) under uncultured bacterium. RNAcentral's name for it is "partial 16S ribosomal RNA". It matches the Rfam family "Bacterial small subunit ribosomal RNA", at positions 524 to 776 of the family's 1533-position model. The record is from RNAcentral.